GUAGUCUCGCACAGAUGCAUAUCAAUAAGCGGAGGAAAAGAAACUAACAAGGGAUUCCCUUAGUAACGGCGAGUGAAGCGGGAAGAGCUCAAAUUUGAAAUCUUCAAGGUUUUACCUUGACGAAUUGUAGUUUAAAGAAGUGUUUUCUGUUGAAGUUUUGGUAAAAGUUCUUUGGAAUAGGACAUCAUAGAGGGUGAGAAUCCCGUAUUUGACCAUUAUUUUCAGCUGUGUGAUACACUUUCAAAGAGUCGGAUUGUUUGGGAAUGCAGUCCAAAAUGGGUGGUAAAUUUCAUCUAAAGCUAAAUAUUGGCGAGAGACCGAUAGCGAACAAGUACCGUGAGGGAAAGAUGAAAAGAACUUUGAAAAGAGAGUUAAACAGUACGUGAAAUUGUCAAAAGGAAAGCGUUUGACACCAGUGUUGUUUUUCUGAAAAUCAAUUAAAGAACUGUUUAUGCUAAGUUGUUUAGACUUUAUCAGCUAACUGUUUAGUUUUGAGCUUUUCUUUAAUGCACUUUUCAGUUAACAAGUCAACAUCAAUUUCUUUUGCUGUAAAAAAGCUUGAGGAAGGUGGCUUGAGAUUCGUCUUAAGUGUUUAUAGCCUCUUGCCUAUGCAGUCGGAGAGAUUGAGGUCUGCAGCGUAGAUCCUUCGGGGCUAAAUGCAUUUGUGCUAAGUUAUAGCAUUUUAUAGACAACUUGUUGACUAUGAUUUGUCUUGUAGCUUACUCGCUUAUGUUAUUUUACCUACGCUUAGGAUGUUGAUGUGAUACUGCGAGCA
RNAcentral lists this ribosomal RNA (775 nucleotides) under uncultured Neocallimastigales. RNAcentral describes it as "partial large subunit ribosomal RNA". It matches the Rfam family "Eukaryotic large subunit ribosomal RNA", at positions 24 to 646 of the family's 3401-position model. The record is from RNAcentral. Lineage: Eukaryota; Fungi; Neocallimastigomycota; Neocallimastigomycetes; Neocallimastigales.